This 435-nucleotide long non-coding RNA is filed under the name Chelonoidis abingdonii (Abingdon island giant tortoise). RNAcentral describes it as "lncRNA (ENSCABG00000018565.1)". The record is from RNAcentral. Lineage: Eukaryota; Metazoa; Chordata; Testudines; Testudinidae.
GUUUCAAAUGUCUCUCACUGGAAGGAUGCUGGUCCAGGGCUGGACAGAAUGGAGGCCCAAGCCUAGAUUCAUCCUACAUGCAUUUGGGCUUCAUCCAAUGGGCUUCACUUCUCAGAGGAGAGCUCUGAUGAGGCAAUCAAGGACGAGAAGCUGGAGGCAGAGCUCUUUAUUGCCUAUAAGCGUGCUGCUGACCCUCAGGCUGAUUUGGAUGGUGAAUACUACUAGUCAUGCCUUGACAUGCAGUAUCUAUGCACUGGAUGGAGCCGAAGAAACUCAGCUGAUGGUCCUUACUCCCAAAGGCAGAGCAAAGAUGACAAAAACAGAGUUGCAGUUCUUCUGACAAGGAGGAUCUUUAGUGGAUUUUUCACUCUUCUUACUACAGUGGCUUUAAAGAGCAGGAUAUAGUGGGGUCCACUGUGCUUUCUUGGAGAAAUU